GUAGGGAAUAUUGGGCAAUGGUCGGAAGACUGACCCAGCCAUGCCGCGUGCAGGAAGACGGCCCUCUGGGUUGUAAACUGCUUUUAUCUGGGAAGAAAAGGCCAUGCGUGGCAAAUUGCCGGUACCAGAUGAAUAAGCACCGGCUAACUCCGUGCCAGCAGCCGCGGUAAUACGGAGGGUGCGAGCGUUGUCCGGAUUUAUUGGGUUUAAAGGGUGCGUAGGCGGCUGAUUAAGUCAGCGGUGAAAGACUUCGGCUUAACCGGAGCAGUGCCGUUGAUACUGGUUGGCUUGAGUGUCGGAGGGGUACAUGGAAUUGAUGGUGUAGCGGUGAAAUGCAUAGAUACCAUCAGGAACACCGAUAGCGAAGGCAUUGUACUGGCCGACAACUGACGCUGAUGCACGAAAGUGUGGGGAUCGAACAGGAUUAGAAACCCUUGUAGUCC
RNAcentral lists this ribosomal RNA (443 nucleotides) under uncultured bacterium. Its description in RNAcentral is "partial 16S ribosomal RNA". It matches the Rfam family "Bacterial small subunit ribosomal RNA", at positions 354 to 796 of the family's 1533-position model. The record is from RNAcentral.